CGCUAUCGUAUCUCAAUUCCUGUGCGCCGGCUGCUGCUAACGUUUCUCCUCUCGUUGCUUUUGCUGCUGGCUUCCUCUUCAGUUUCAUCAUCUUCUUAUUCGUUUCUCCUAACCCUAGGUUAAAAUUGAGUUGUUAGCUGAAGAGCUAAAAAGUGAAGAGAUCACCUAUUUUUUUUUGCAAAAGUGCUCAAAGGUCUACGAUCAUGUGGAUCAAUUUAAGUUUUGGUUAUCUUCAUUUUUAGUUUAUUAUUAUUUUUUUAGAGGAAGCUUAUUGUAAAUCCUUGGUAUUAGCUCUUGUAAAGGAUGAUUGUAAUGGAUUUAAGUGAGGCCUUGGAAGCAUGUUAUAUAGUUAUAUUUUAUUAUCA
Zingiber officinale is the source of this 365-nucleotide long non-coding RNA. RefSeq lists it as uncharacterized. The transcript has 2 exons. The record is from RefSeq and is a predicted model, not a curated record. NCBI's taxonomy places the organism in Eukaryota, Viridiplantae, Streptophyta, Magnoliopsida, Zingiberales, Zingiberaceae.